RNAcentral lists this ribosomal RNA (465 nucleotides) under uncultured ammonia-oxidizing beta proteobacterium. RNAcentral's name for it is "bacterial SSU rRNA". It matches the Rfam family "Bacterial small subunit ribosomal RNA", at positions 198 to 644 of the family's 1533-position model. The record is from RNAcentral. Lineage: Bacteria; Pseudomonadati; Pseudomonadota; Betaproteobacteria.
GGAGGAAAGCAGGGGAUCGAAAGACCUCGCGUUAUUGGAGCGGCCGAUGCCGGAUUAGCUAGUUGGUGAGGUAAAGGCUCACCAAGGCGACGAUCCGUAGCUGGUCUGAGAGGACGACCAGCCACACUGGGACUGAGACACGGCCCAGACUCCUACGGGAGGCAGCAGUGGGGAAUUUUGGACAAUGGGGGCAACCCUGAUCCAGCCAUGCCGCGUGAGUGAAGAAGGCCUUCGGGUUGUAAAGCUCUUUCGCAAGGAAAGAAAACUUAUCUACUAAUACUAGGUGAGGAUGACGGUACCUUGAUAAGAAGCACCGGCUAACUACGUGCCAGCAGCCGCGGUAAUACGUAGGGUGCGAGCGUUAAUCGGAAUUACUGGGCGUAAAGCGUGCGCAGGCGGUUUCGUAAGCCAGAUGUGAAAUCCCCGGGCUCAACCUGGGAACUGCGUUUGAAACUACAAAGCUAG